This 497-nucleotide ribosomal RNA is filed under the name uncultured bacterium. Its description in RNAcentral is "partial 16S ribosomal RNA". It matches the Rfam family "Bacterial small subunit ribosomal RNA", at positions 28 to 507 of the family's 1533-position model. The record is from RNAcentral.
GAUGAACGCUGGCGGCGUGCCUAAUACAUGCAAGUCGAGCGAACGGACGAGAAGCUUGCUUUUCUGAUGUUAGCGGCGGACGGGUGAGUAACACGUGGAUAACCUACCUAUAAGACUGGGAUAACUUCGGGAAACCGGAGCUAAUACCGGAUAAUAUUUUGAACCGCAUGGUUCAAAUGUGAAAGACGGUCUUGCUGUCACUUAUAGAUGGAUCCGCGCUGCAUUAGCUAGUUGGUAAGGUAACGGCUUACCAAGGCAACGAUGCAUAGCCGACCUGAGAGGGUGAUCGGCCACACUGGAACUGAGACACGGUCCAGACUCCUACGGGAGGCAGCAGUAGGGAAUCUUCCGCAAUGGGCGAAAGCCUGACGGAGCAACGCCGCGUGAGUGAUGAAGGUCUUCGGAUCGUAAAACUCUGUUAUUAGGGAAGAACAUAUGUGUAAGUAACUGUGCACAUCUUGAAGGUACCUAAUCAGAAAGCCACGGCUAACUACGUG